AUUGAACGCUGGCGGCAUGCCUUACACAUGCAAGUCGAACGGCAGCACGGGUGCUUGCACCUGGUGGCGAGUGGCGAACGGGUGAGUAAUACAUCGGAACGUACCUUAUCGUGGGGGAUAACGCAGCGAAAGCUGUGCUAAUACCGCAUACGCCCUGAGGGGGAAAGCGGGGGAUCGAAAGACCUCGCGCGAUUAGAGCGGCCGAUGCCUGAUUAGCUUGUUGGUGGGGUUAAAGCCUACCAAGGCGACGAUCAGUAGCUGGUCUGAGAGGACGAUCGGCCACACUGGAACUGAGACACGGCCCAGACUCCUACGGGAGGCAUCAGUGUGGAAUUUUGGACAAGGGGGGCAACCCUGAUCCAGCGAUGCCGCGUGAGUGAAGAAGGCCUUCGGGUUGUAAAGCUCUUUUGUCAGGGAAGAAACACCGGCUCUAACACAGUCCGGGAAUUACGGUACCUGAAGAAUAAGCACCGGCUAACUACGUGCCAGCCGCCGCCGUAA
This 501-nucleotide ribosomal RNA is filed under the name uncultured bacterium. RNAcentral describes it as "partial 16S ribosomal RNA". It matches the Rfam family "Bacterial small subunit ribosomal RNA", at positions 30 to 523 of the family's 1533-position model. The record is from RNAcentral.